CAGUAGCCGCGGGAAUACGUAGGGUGCGAGCGUUAAUCGGAAUUACUGGGCGUAAAGCGUGCGCAGGCGGUUCGUUAAGACAGAUGUGAAAUCCCCGGGCUUAACCUGGGAACUGCAUUUGUGACUGGCGAGCUAGAGUAUGGCAGAGGGGGGUAGAAUUCCACGUGUAGCAGUGAAAUGCGUAGAGAUGUGGAGGAAUACCGAUGGCGAAGGCAGCCCCCUGGGCCAAUACUGACGCUCAUGCACGAAAGCGUGGGGAGCAAACAGGAUUAGAUACCCCCGUAGUCCCUGUCUCUUAUAA
Molecule: ribosomal RNA, 301 nt
Filed under: uncultured bacterium
Lineage: Bacteria
Description: partial 16S ribosomal RNA
Rfam family: Bacterial small subunit ribosomal RNA
Source: RNAcentral